AUUCCAGCUCCAAUAGCGUAUAUUUAAGUUGCUGCAGUUAAAAAGCUCGUAGUUGGAUUUCGGGCGGUUGACGACGGUCCGCCGUAAGGUGUGUACUUGGUUGUCUCCAGUCAUCCUUGUGGGAACUGCUCUGGCAUUAAGUUGUCGGGGUUAGGGAACACAUCGUUUACUGUGAAAAAAUUAGAGUGUUUAAAGCAGGCUUAUGCCGUUGAAUACAUUAGCAUGGAAUAAUAAGAUAGGACUUUGGCGUCUAUUUUGUUGGUUUGCACACCAAGGUAAUGAUUAAUAGGGAUAGUUGGGGGUAUCCGUAUUUCGUAGUCAGAGGUGAAAUUCUUGGAUUUACGAAAGACGAACUACUGCGAAAGCAUUUACCAAGGAUGUUUUCAUUA
This 389-nucleotide ribosomal RNA is filed under the name Stramenopiles sp. MAST-1C. Its description in RNAcentral is "partial small subunit ribosomal RNA". It matches the Rfam family "Eukaryotic small subunit ribosomal RNA", at positions 582 to 975 of the family's 1831-position model. The record is from RNAcentral.